This 292-nucleotide long non-coding RNA is filed under the name Dermacentor andersoni. Its description in RNAcentral is "uncharacterized LOC126548225". The record is from RNAcentral. Lineage: Eukaryota; Metazoa; Arthropoda; Arachnida; Ixodida; Ixodidae.
GGACCUUCUACAGCAUACACAAUACCAGUUUCUUACUUCUUUUACCAAUGGUUGAAUGGUCUCCAGCUGUCAGAACUGGUUCGCUAUGUUAUGAAGGAGGUUGAAGACACAGGUUUCAAAGUUGUUUGUUUGGUAACUGACAACCACAAGUUUAAUGUGAGUGCAAUGAGUCUUGUGUAGUGGUUUUUUAAGGCACCGGAUUGAACAUCCAAAUGACAGUGACACGCUUCUGUUUUUAAGCUUUGAUUAUAGUCACAUAUCGAAAAACAUAAGAUCCCAUUUUUUGACGAGA